GCACGUGAUCAGCUGAUCCAGUGAACCUUAUCAACACCUGUCACCAGUGACUGCCUCAGUCGCUCUUUUCUUGUUAUAGCAAUGGGUGGAGGCGUCAGUUUUCCCGUGGUUCCCCUGUCUCGCGACCGUGUUGUACUGGUGACCGGUGGAAACACAGGUCUGGGGUACGAGGCAGCUAAACACAUCGCCAUGAUGGGAGCCUCUGUCGUCAUAGCCUGCAGAUCACAGACCAGGGCGACUCAGGCCAUACAACGGAUGAACGAGGAGUUCAGAGCUUCGAAAGAAGCCGGAACACUCCCAGAGGGCAUCAGCCAAACCGGAAGUUUGGCAGUAGAUUUUAUGGAACUUGAUCUGGCGUCCCUUAAGUCCACCAUGGCAUUCAUUGAGGCCUUCAAGGCAUCCGGCCGCAAGCUGCACGUACUUCUAUGUAAUGCUGGUGUGGCAAUGUUGCCCAGAGGUUUCACAGAAGAUGGCCAUGAAACAAUGUUCCAGGUGAACUAUUUGGGCCAUUUCCUGAUCAUUGCUCACCUGGUGCCUACAAUGAAGACCUCAGGUAGCGACUGCCGCAUCAUCUUCACAUCCAGCCAAGCCCAUAUGUACAGCGAGAGGGAGUUCAGGGAGUCCAAGGUCAAGGCCGAGGAUCCCGCGGUAUAUGGAAGGAUGCUCAACUAUGGUACCUCCAAACUGUUUCAGGUACCCACAUAUGUAAUUACUGAUUACGUUGUUUGGGUGUGUGUCAGAUUGUCGAAAAAACAUAUCACAUCAGUAAGAUUUGAGUUGAAUUUCAUUGCUUACAUGAAAUGUUUUGCUACUACUCAGAUCCACCAUAUGUUUUGUCUGUCGCGGAGACUGAAGGGCACGGACAUUUCGGUCACUUGUCUGCAUCCGGGUAUUGUGCGGACUGAAGUUACACGGAGCUUCACUGACAGUACAGCACUUGCAGCUAUGUUUGGAACAUUUAGAAUGCUUGGUCAGUAAUAGCCAUAUUGUCGUUAAUGGCUUAAUGCGCAUAUGCAACGCGCAAGAAUAUGUAUGAAUAUUAUUAUCAUCUGAAUUAACGUUAACACUGAGUUAUUAUAGGAACACAUGUACAGUUCUCGAAAUAUACGUCUACUUUGCCAGACCAUAUUAAAGUGUAUACAGAUAGCCCCGGGUCUACUGUCGCUAGUGUUCCAAGUGUCUUCCUCACAGAACGUCGUUGCAUCAACAACCAAAGAAGGGUCCAUGUGAACAACAUGAACGUGGUUGUUACGUGUGCAGGAUUUACAAAGACCCCGUUACAAGGGGCGACAACUCUGAUAGAUGCAGCAGUGAACACAGUAUGGCGGGGUGUGUCGGACGUUUAUCUUAUGGACUGUAAGCCAAGUUCUACACACUCCUGUGCAAG
This 1387-nucleotide unclassified non-coding RNA is filed under the name Haliotis rubra (blacklip abalone). RNAcentral describes it as "retinol dehydrogenase 14-like, transcript variant X3". Lineage: Eukaryota; Metazoa; Mollusca; Gastropoda; Lepetellida; Haliotidae. The record is from RNAcentral.